ACUCCUACGGGAGGCAGCAGUGGGGAAUAUUGGACAAUGGGCGAAAGCCUGAUCCAGCAAUGCCGCGUGAGUGAUGAAGGCCUUAGGGUUGUAAAGCUCUUUUACCCGGGAUGAUAAUGACAGUACCGGGAGAAUAAGCCCCGGCUAACUCCGUGCCAGCAGCCGCGGUAAUACGGAGGGGGCUAGCGUUGUUCGGAAUUACUGGGCAUAAAGCGCGCGUAGGCGGCUUUGUAAGUUAGAGGUGAAAGCCCGGGGCUCAACCCCGGAAUUGCCUUUAAGACUGCAUCGCUAGAAUCGUGGAGAGGUAAGUGGAA
This 314-nucleotide ribosomal RNA is filed under the name uncultured bacterium. RNAcentral's name for it is "bacterial SSU rRNA". It matches the Rfam family "Bacterial small subunit ribosomal RNA", at positions 335 to 666 of the family's 1533-position model. The record is from RNAcentral.